RNAcentral lists this ribosomal RNA (823 nucleotides) under uncultured archaeon. Its description in RNAcentral is "bacterial SSU rRNA". It matches the Rfam family "Archaeal small subunit ribosomal RNA", at positions 21 to 845 of the family's 1478-position model. The record is from RNAcentral.
GGUUACUGCUAUCGGUGUUCGCCUAAGCCAUGCGAGUCAUAUGUUCGUAAGAACAUGGCGUACUGCUCAGUAACACGUGGAUAGCCUGCCCUUGGGUCCGGCAUAACCCCGGGAAACUGGGGAUAAUUCCGGAUAACGCACAUAUGCUGGAAUGCUUUAUGCGUAAAAUGGAUUCGUCUGCCCAAGGAUGGGUCUGCGGCCUAUCAGGUAGUAGUGGGUGUAAUGUACCUACUAGCCUACGACGGGUACGGGUUGUGAGAGCAAGAGCCCGGAGAUGGAUUCUGAGACAUGAAUCCAGGCCCUACGGGGCGCAGCAGGCGCGAAAACUUUACAAUGCGGGAAACCGUGAUAAGGGGACACCGAGUGCCAGCAUCCUAUGCUGGCUGUCCGGGUGUGUAAAAUACACCUGUUAGCAAGGGCCGGGCAAGACCGGUGCCAGCCGCCGCGGUAACACCGGCGGCCCGAGUGGUGAUCGUGAUUAUUGGGUCUAAAGGGUCCGUAGCCGGUUUGGUCAGUCCUCCGGGAAAUCUGACAGCUUAACUGUUAGGCUUUCGGAGGAUACUGCCAGACUUGGAACCGGGAGAGGUAAGAGGUACUACAGGGGUAGGAGUGAAAUCUUGUAAUCCCUGUGGGACCACCUGUGGCGAAGGCGUCUUACCAGAACGGGUUCGACGGUGAGGGACGAUAGCUGGGGGCACGAACCGGAUUAGAUACCCGGGUAGUCCCAGCCGUAAACGAUGCUCGCUAGGUGUCAGGCAUGGCGCGACCGUGUCUGGUGCCGCAGGGAAGCCGUGAAGCGAGCCACCUGGGAAGUACGGCCGCA